CCUANGGGGGGCAGCAGUGGGGAAUAUUGCGCAAUGGGGGAAACCCUGACGCAGCGACGCCGUGUGAGUGAUGAAGGUUUUCGGAUCGUAAAGCUCUGUCGGGUGGAAAGAAUAAAGGCUGUGUAAAUAAUGCAGUCUGAUGACGGUACCACCAAAGGAAGCACCGGCUAACUCCGUGCCAGCAGCCGCGGUAAUACGGAGGGUGCAAGCGUUGUUCGGAAUUAUUGGGCGUAAAGGGCGUGUAGGCGGGUAUGUAGGUCAGGUGUGAAAUCCCUCGGCUCAACCGAGGAAGUGCAUCUGAAACCGCGUAUCUUGAGUACGAGAGAGGCAGAUGGAAUUCCCAGUGUAGAGGUGAAAUUCAUAGAUAUUGGGAAGAACACCGGUGGCGAAAGCGGUCUGCUGGCUCGAUACUGACGCUGAGACGCGAAAGCGUGGGGAGCAAACAGGAUUAGAUACCCCANUANUC
Molecule: ribosomal RNA, 466 nt
Filed under: uncultured bacterium
Lineage: Bacteria
Description: bacterial SSU rRNA
Rfam family: Bacterial small subunit ribosomal RNA
Source: RNAcentral